Long non-coding RNA from Lolium perenne, 511 nucleotides. RefSeq lists it as uncharacterized. The record is from RefSeq and is a predicted model, not a curated record. NCBI's taxonomy places the organism in Eukaryota, Viridiplantae, Streptophyta, Magnoliopsida, Poales, Poaceae.
UCUGCACGAAUACACCGUAACUACAAUUUGUUUCUCCUUGAUGAAGCUUGACAAGAAACUGUUAUAUACCAUGGAUGUCAGGCAUGCCGUUAUGUGUCUCCUCCUAGUGCUUGUGUUGCACAGAAGUCCUACUGUUGUUGCAGAAGAGUAUUGCAGUUACGGGACUAUGAAGAUGCCAUUCUGUUUCGGCGCUCUGUGUAUCCUGGAGUGCUGGAUGCAGGGGAUAGUGAUAGGGGCUCAUGUCAAAGAACACACUUGUUGGGGAGCAAAGGAGACCAGCAGCUGUAUCUGUCUUUACUGCAGAAAAUAAACUAGCUUAGCCUUCAAGCAAAGAUAAAUAAAAGGUUUCGGCUAAAAGUGUCGUGUCAAGGCCGUCAUCCAAACAGACGCCAUCACGAAUAGUUAUUCCAAGCAUUAUUCUCGCAACGCUAAAGAUGUUAGCACAACCCUGUGGUUUUCUCCAACUUUUAGAACCAGUGAAUCAAAGAGGCUAGUUGGACUCCUCCUUGCA